This 559-nucleotide ribosomal RNA is filed under the name uncultured Glomus. RNAcentral describes it as "eukaryotic LSU rRNA". The stretch from base 155 to 308 matches the Rfam family "5.8S ribosomal RNA". The record is from RNAcentral. Lineage: Eukaryota; Fungi; Glomeromycota; Glomeromycetes; Glomerales; Glomeraceae.
GGAAGUAAAAGUCGUAACAAGGUUUCCGUAGGUGAACCUGCGGAAGGAUCAUUACUGAUUUAGCGAACCGAGCAUUAGCGAGGUUUUGCGAUCAAAUUAUAUUUAAAACCCACUCUUUAAUGUAUAAAAUUUGUAUUAUGAUAAAUUAAAAGAUCACUUUCAACAACGGAUCUCUUGGCUCUCGCAUCGAUGAAGAACGUAGCGAAGUGCGAUAAGUAAUGUGAAUUGCAGUAUUCCGUGGAUCAUCGAAUCUUUGAACGCAUAUUGCACUUUCUGGUAUUCCGGAAAGUAUGCCUGUUUGAGGGUCAGUUAAAUAAAAAUCGGUGUUGUUGCUGCCUUUCGUGGUGACGCGUCGGAAUUGAGUUGUCUUACCCUUCGGUUAAGUGACUUAAAAUUUUGCAUGAUCUUCGAACGUAUUUAAAUUGCUUACGUACGUUUGAGAUAUCGAAUGUUUAUUAGGUUCGGUCAUUCUAAUGACUCGCGCCUAUAGUUUUUCAUUAAAUGACCUCAAAUCAGGUAAGAAUACCCGCUGAACUUAAGCAUAUCAAUAAGCGGAGGA